RNAcentral lists this ribosomal RNA (477 nucleotides) under uncultured bacterium. Its description in RNAcentral is "partial 16S ribosomal RNA". It matches the Rfam family "Bacterial small subunit ribosomal RNA", at positions 28 to 507 of the family's 1533-position model. The record is from RNAcentral.
GAUGAACGCUGGCGGCGUGCCUAACACAUGCAAGUCGAACGAAGCACCUUACCUGAUUCUUCGGAUGAAAGUUUGGUGGCUGAGUGGCGGACGGGUGAGUAACGCGUGGGUAACCUGCCCUGUACAGGGGGAUAACAGCUGGAAACGGCUGCUAAUACCGCAUAAGCGCACGAGGAGACAUCUCCUUGUGUGAAAAACUCCGGUGGUACAGGAUGGGCCCGCGUCUGAUUAGCUGGUUGGCAGGGUAACGGCCUACCAAGGCAACGAUCAGUAGCCGGUCUGAGAGGAUGAACGGCCACAUUGGAACUGAGACACGGUCCAAACUCCUACGGGAGGCAGCAGUGGGGAAUAUUGCACAAUGGGGGAAACCCUGAUGCAGCAACGCCGCGUGAGUGAAGACGUAUUUCGGUAUGUAAAGCUCUAUCAGCAGGGAAGAUAAUGACGGUACCUGACUAAGAAGCUCCGGCUAAAUACGUG